GUGUCUGUAGUUCAGUUGGUUAGAGCGUCAGAUUGUGGUUCUGAAUGUCGUGGGUUCGAGUCCCAUCAGACACC
RNAcentral lists this transfer RNA (74 nucleotides) under Bacteroidaceae bacterium. RNAcentral describes it as "tRNA-His". It matches the Rfam family "tRNA". Rfam says of the family: Transfer RNA (tRNA) molecules are approximately 80 nucleotides in length. Their secondary structure includes four short double-helical elements and three loops (D, anti-codon, and T loops). Further hydrogen bonds mediate the characteristic L-shaped molecular structure. tRNAs have two regions of fundamental functional importance: the anti-codon, which is responsible for specific mRNA codon recognition, and the 3' end, to which the tRNAs corresponding amino acid is attached (by aminoacyl-tRNA synthetases). tRNAs cope with the degeneracy of the genetic code in two manners: having more than one tRNA (with a specific anti-codon) for a particular amino acid; and 'wobble' base-pairing, i.e. permitting non-standard base-pairing at the 3rd anti-codon position. Lineage: Bacteria; Pseudomonadati; Bacteroidota; Bacteroidia; Bacteroidales; Bacteroidaceae. The record is from RNAcentral.